UUUUAAAACUCUCUAUAAAAGAAACUCCUCAACUUCAACACCUUCUUCACUCAAAAACAAAGCUUCCUUUUUGUCAUCACAAUAACAAAAUCAAACACAAAGCACAAAAAGGUCCUUCCAAUGGCUAUGCUUCCAUGCAAACGCAUCCUCGUCGUCCUCAUCCUCGUCCUUCUUUGUUGUUUCUCAAACAAAGCUAUAGCAGCAAGAAGUUUGGGAAUACCUCAGCUUAAAAGUGAUGUUCAUAAUCAGAAAGUUAUUAAUAAUGAUGAUCUUAAAGUUCAUGAUGAAGAACAUUUCUCAAGCACUGAUGAUUUGGGUGCAAUGGAUUAUACUCCAGCCUCCAAGAAGCCUCCAAUCCACAACUAGAAUUUUAUUUGUAAAAAUCCAAACACUUUUACUUCUUUAUUAUUAAUUUGUAUGAUAUUUUACAUCUGCCUUUCUCUUUUUGUUUUUGGUUCAAAUGAAAGCUUCAAGUAAUGAAUUAUACAGAAAUGGAAGAUAUGAGCAAAUUGUGAAACAAUGUGGGUUUCAUACAUGUGCAACUGUUUCAAUAUUGUCUCUUUUCUUUUUUAAUUUUUAUUUUGAAGUUAGAUUGAUUGUCAAUAGAAGAUUUAUGUCGGCAUAAAA
Molecule: non-coding RNA, 627 nt
Organism: Benincasa hispida (wax gourd)
Lineage: Eukaryota; Viridiplantae; Streptophyta; Magnoliopsida; Cucurbitales; Cucurbitaceae
Source: RefSeq, a predicted model, not a curated record